RNAcentral lists this ribosomal RNA (458 nucleotides) under uncultured bacterium. RNAcentral's name for it is "bacterial SSU rRNA". It matches the Rfam family "Bacterial small subunit ribosomal RNA", at positions 29 to 473 of the family's 1533-position model. The record is from RNAcentral.
AACGAACGUUAGCGGCGCGCUUAACACAUGCAAGUCGAGCGAGAAAGGGGCAACCCCGGUAAGCGGCGCACGGGUGAGUAACACGUAGGUAAUCUACCCUCGGGUGGAGGAUAACUUUCCGAAAGGAAGGCUAAUACUGCAUGAGACCACGACCUCGAAAGGGGAGUGGGGUCAAAGCCGGCCUCUGUACACAAGCUGGCGCCUGAGGAUGAGCCUGCGGCCCAUCAGCUAGUUGGUAGGGUAAUGGCCUACCAAGGCGAAGACGGGUAGCUGGUCUGAGAGGAUGAUCAGCCACACUGGAACUGAGACACGGUCCAGACUCCUACGGGAGGCAGCAGUGAGGAAUCUUGCGCAAUGGGCGAAAGCCUGACGCAGCGACGCCGCGUGAGUGAUGAAGGCCUCGGUUGUAAGACUCUGUGGAGAGGACGGAAUAAGUAGUUGGCGUAACAUCCAGCAUG